This 425-nucleotide ribosomal RNA is filed under the name uncultured bacterium. Its description in RNAcentral is "bacterial SSU rRNA". It matches the Rfam family "Bacterial small subunit ribosomal RNA", at positions 355 to 773 of the family's 1533-position model. The record is from RNAcentral.
UGGGGAAUUGUUCGCAAUGGGCGCAAGCCUGACGACGCAACGCCGCGUGGAGGAUGAAGGUCUUCGGAUUGUAAACUCCUGUUGCCCGGGACGAAUGGCUCCGACCUAACACGUCGGAUGGUGACGGUACCGGGUGAGGACGCCCCGGCUAACUCUGUGCCAGCAGCCGCGGUAAUACAGAGGGGGCAAGCGUUGUUCGGAAUUGCUGGGCGUAAAGGGCGCGUAGGCGGCCUGUUAAGUCGAACGUGAAAUCCCCGGGCUCAACCCGGGAACUGCGUCCGAUACUGGCAGGCUUGAAUCCGGGAGAGGGAUGCGGAAUUCCAGGUGUAGCGGUGAAAUGCGUAGAUAUCUGGAGGAACACCGGUGGCGAAGGCGGCAUCCUGGACCGGUAUUGACGCUGAUGCGCGAAAGCCAGGGGAGCAAAC